UACGUAGGGGGCAAGCGUUGUCCGGAUUUAUUGGGCGUAAAGAGCGUGUAGGCGGCCUGACAGGUCUGCUGUGAAAACUCGAGGCUCAACCUCGAGAUGUCGGCGGAAACCGUCUGGCUAGAGUCCGGAAGAGGAGAGUGGAAUUCCUGGUGUAGCGGUGAAAUGCGCAGAUAUCAGGAGGAACACCGGUGGCGAAGGCGGGUCUCUGGGCCGUAACUGACGCUGAGGAGCGAAAGCAUGGGGAGCGAACAGG
RNAcentral lists this ribosomal RNA (253 nucleotides) under uncultured bacterium. RNAcentral describes it as "partial 16S ribosomal RNA". It matches the Rfam family "Bacterial small subunit ribosomal RNA", at positions 524 to 776 of the family's 1533-position model. The record is from RNAcentral.